GUAGUUGAACCUUGGGCCUGGCUGGCCGGUCCGCCUCACCGCGUGUACUGGUCCGGCCGGGCCUUUCCCUCUGUGGAACCCCAUGCCCUUCACUGGGCGUGGCGGGGAAACAGGACUUUUACUGUGAAAAAAUUAGAGUGCUCCAGGCAGGCCUAUGCUCGAAUACAUUAGCAUGGAAUAAUAGAAUAGGACGUGUGGUUCUAUUUUGUUGGUUUCUAGGACCGCCGUAAUGAUUAAUAGGGACAGUCGGGGGCAUCAGUAUUCAAUUGUCAGAGGUGAAAUUCUUGGAUUUAUUGAAGACUAACUACUGCGAAAGCAUUUGCCAAGGAUGUUUUCAUUAAUCAGGAACGAAAGUUAGGGGAUCGAAGACGAUCAGAUACCGUCGUAGUCUUAACCAUAAACUAUGCCGACUAGGGAUCGGACGGUGUUAUUUUUUGACCCGUUCGGCACCUUACGAGAAAUCAAAGUGCUUGGGCUCCAGGGGGAGUAUGGUCGCAAGGCUGAAACUUAAAGAAAUUGACGGAAGGGCACCACCAGGGGUGGAGCCUGCGGCUUAAUUUGACUCAACACGGGGAAACUCACCAGGUCCAGACACAAUAAGG
This 602-nucleotide ribosomal RNA is filed under the name Fusarium acuminatum. Its description in RNAcentral is "SSU rRNA". It matches the Rfam family "Eukaryotic small subunit ribosomal RNA", at positions 630 to 1238 of the family's 1831-position model. RNAcentral also lists the same sequence under 1 other name. The record is from RNAcentral. Lineage: Eukaryota; Fungi; Ascomycota; Sordariomycetes; Hypocreales; Nectriaceae.